CCUACGGGAGGCAGCAGUGGGGAAUAUUGGGCAAUGGGCGCAAGCCUGACCCAGCAACGCCGCGUGAAGGAAGAAGGCUUUCGGGUUGUAAACUUCUUUUCUGAGGGACGAAGAAAGUGACGGUACCGCAGGAAUAAGCCACGGCUAACUACGGGCCAGCAGCCGCGGUAAUGCGUAGGGGGCAGGCGUUAUCCGGAUUUAUUGGGUGUAAAGGGCGUGUAGGCGGGAAAGCAAGGCCGAUGGGAAUACUUCGGGGUCAACCCUGAGCCUGCCGUUGAAACUGUUGUUCUUGAGUGCGGGAGAGGCAAGCGGAAUUCGGGGUGUAGCGGUGAAAUGCGUAGAUAUACGGCGGAACACCAGUGGCGAAGGCGGAAUGCCGGACAGUAACUGACGCUGAGGCGCGAAAGCGUGGGUAGCGAACAGGAUUAGAUACCCGAGUAGUC
This 443-nucleotide ribosomal RNA is filed under the name uncultured bacterium. Its description in RNAcentral is "partial 16S ribosomal RNA". It matches the Rfam family "Bacterial small subunit ribosomal RNA", at positions 338 to 795 of the family's 1533-position model. The record is from RNAcentral.